AACGAACGCUGGCGGCAGGCCUAACACAUGCAAGUCGAGCGAGGACUUCGGUCCUAGCGGCGGACGGGUGAGUAACGCGUGGGAACGUGCCCUUUGCUUCGGAAUAGCCCUGGGAAACUGGGAGUAAUACCGGAUGAGCCCUUUGGGGGAAAGAUUUAUCGGCGAAGGAUCGGCCCGCGUUGGAUUAGGUAGUUGGUGGGGUAAUGGCCUACCAAGCCGACGAUCCAUAGCUGGUUUGAGAGGAUGAUCAGCCACACUGGGAAUGAGACACGGCCCAGACUCCUACGGGAGGCAGCAGUGGGGAAUCUUAGACAAUGGGGGAAACCCUGAUCUAGCCAUGCCGCGUGAGCGAUGAAGGCCUUAGGGUUGUAAAGCUCUUUCAGCUGGGAAGAUAAUGACGGUACCAGCAGAAGAAGCCCCGGCUAACUCCGUG
This 433-nucleotide ribosomal RNA is filed under the name uncultured bacterium. Its description in RNAcentral is "partial 16S ribosomal RNA". It matches the Rfam family "Bacterial small subunit ribosomal RNA", at positions 29 to 507 of the family's 1533-position model. The record is from RNAcentral.